This 250-nucleotide ribosomal RNA is filed under the name uncultured bacterium. Its description in RNAcentral is "partial 16S ribosomal RNA". It matches the Rfam family "Bacterial small subunit ribosomal RNA", at positions 524 to 773 of the family's 1533-position model. The record is from RNAcentral.
UACGGAGGGUCCAAGCGUUAUCCGGAUUCAUUGGGUUUAAAGGGUCCGUAGGCGGGAAAAUAAGUCAGUGGUGAAAUCCUGCAGCUCAACUGUAGAACUGCCAUUGAAACUGUUUUUCUUGAAUUUAGAUGAAGUGGGCGGAAUGUGUCAUGUAGCGGUGAAAUGCAUAGAUAUGACACAGAACACCGAUUGCGAAGGCAGCUCACUAAACUAAUAUUGACGCUGAGGGACGAAAGUGUGGGGAGCGAAC